AAGGAAUAUUGGUCAAUGGACGCAAGUCUGAACCAGCCAUGCCGCGUGAAGGAUGAAGGUCCUCUGGAUUGUAAACUUCUUUUAUCUGGGACGAAAACGGGAUUUUUAUCUCAAUUGACGGUACCAGAGGAAUAAGCACCGGCUAACUCCGUGCCAGCAGCCGCGGUAAUACGGAGGGUGCGAGCGCUAUCCGGAUUUACUGGGUUUAAAGGGUGCGUAGGUGGGCUUAUAAGUCAGUGGUGAAAUCUCCGAGCUUAACUUGGAAACUGCCGUUGAUACUAUAGGUCUUGAAUUAUCUGGAGGUAAGCGGAAUAUGUCAUGUAGCGGUGAAAUGCUUAGAUAUGACAUAGAACACCAAUUGCGAAGGCAGCUUACUACAUAUAAAUUGACGCUGAGGCACGAAAGCGUGGGGAUCAAACA
RNAcentral lists this ribosomal RNA (420 nucleotides) under uncultured bacterium. RNAcentral's name for it is "bacterial SSU rRNA". It matches the Rfam family "Bacterial small subunit ribosomal RNA", at positions 356 to 774 of the family's 1533-position model. The record is from RNAcentral.